GCUAAUGUGGCUGUAAUUAAAGAAUUUAAUCUAAGACGGCACUAUGAGACAAAACAUCAGGAUAACCUGAAAGACCUGAAUGCAAAGCAGAAGAUACAGAAAGCAGAAGAGUUAAAGAAGAAUCUGACACUUCAGCAGAUGUUUUUUACCCGUGCAAAAUCACAAAGUGAAGCUGCUUGAAGCUGCUUUUAUGGGAGACACAAAUGCACCAGUGCAACUUGCCCCACUUUCCCUGUUGCCAAGUAAUGUUGAAGCAAGUCGGCACAACGGUGUUCCCAAAUACGCACUUUGCUGAUAAACUGAGCGCACUGUGCACUGAGUUUGCACGGCGCUUUGGUGACUUUGAAGAACAAAAAAAAGAACCCAUUUGCCGUCGAUGUGGAAACUGCACCUGUGCAGAUUCAGAUGGAGCUGAUUGAGCUGCAGUGUAAUGGCACACUGAAGGCAAAGUACGAUACUGCAGGGCCCGCACAGUUUAUUCACUCCAUUCUCGCAGAAAUGCUCCAGCUCUGUCUACAUGCGGCUCGAACCUUGUGCAUGUUUGGUAGCACAUAUCUGUGUGAGUAGCUCUUCUCAGUGAUGAAGACUAACAAAACAGCACACAGGAGUCGUCUCACUGAUGAGCACCUGCAGUCCAUCCUGAGAAUCUCCACAACACAGAACCUCACACCAAACAUAAACGAA
Molecule: long non-coding RNA, 684 nt
Organism: Erpetoichthys calabaricus (reedfish)
Lineage: Eukaryota; Metazoa; Chordata; Cladistia; Polypteriformes; Polypteridae
Exons: 2
Source: RefSeq, a predicted model, not a curated record